GACGAACGCUGGCGGCGCGCUUAACACAUGCAAGUCGAACGGAAAGGCCUGCUUUCCCUUGUGGAUUGCGGGUACUCGAGUGGCGAACGGGUGAGUAACACGUGAGUGAUCUGCCCCCAACUUGGGUAUAAGCCUGGGAAACUGGGUCUAAUUCCCGAUAGGACUGCAGGGUGGUGCCUGUGGUGGAAAACGAUUUUCUAGUGGUUGGGGAUGAGCUCGCGGCCUAUCAGCUUGUUGGUGGGGUAAUGGCCUACCAAGGCGGCGACGGGUAGCCGGCCUGAGAGGGUGGACGGCCACAUUGGGACUGAGAUACAGCCCAGACUCCUACGGGAGGCAGCAGUGGGGAAUAUUGCACAAUGGGCGGAAGCCUGAUGCAGCGACGCCGCGUGGGGGAUGACGGCCUUCGGGUUGUAAACUCCUUUCGACCGCGAGGAAGCCACCUGGUUGGAAGGGUGGUGACGGUAGUGGUAGAAGAAGCACCGGCUAACUACGU
This 493-nucleotide ribosomal RNA is filed under the name uncultured bacterium. Its description in RNAcentral is "partial 16S ribosomal RNA". It matches the Rfam family "Bacterial small subunit ribosomal RNA", at positions 28 to 506 of the family's 1533-position model. The record is from RNAcentral.